Molecule: long non-coding RNA, 2062 nt
Filed under: Nicotiana benthamiana
Lineage: Eukaryota; Viridiplantae; Streptophyta; Magnoliopsida; Solanales; Solanaceae
Description: long non-coding RNA (NBEN_LNC030975)
Source: RNAcentral
GUCGUGAAAGGACAGGCAGCUGAACAGGAGAAGUGAAAAAUGCUUCCACAGCAACUUUUCCUUUGUUUGCUUCCGCUGUGUCGUCUUCCAUUUUCCCACUACUGACCUCCUUCCUCUGCUUCUUACUCCAAGUCUAUGGCUGCGCCUCUUCUGCUCUUUCACGUUUCUACAAGCUAGAGUUGUCCGUGGUUACUAGUUUCUCUUAUCUUAGCACUUCAAGUAAGCAUUUUUUCCCCAGUAAUUUAGCAUGUCUGCACACAGGUUUUUGAUAAUUUUCUGAUAUUGCCGAUUUUCUUUACUGGGUAGUUUGAUUCUUGAAUUUUGAAUUCUCGACUAAAAAGUUAACUUUAAACAAACAUUAAUUAUUAUUUCUAUGCACAGGUUUAUAGGUUUAUGUACAAUUUGAUGAAUUUGCCUCUCCUUUAUGCUGGGUAGUUCGACUUUUGAUUUCUAAUUCUUGAUUCUUGUGAAAGAAUGAGUAAUUCUUUAUAUGAUUCAAGUAGAGGAGGAGGAGGUUCAGUUUAAUUUCACGUGUUUUUCCCCCUUAAUACACACUGACUGUUAUGAAAUCAUGAAAUUGUGAAGGUUGCUAUUGUACUAGUCAAAUAUUGAAUAGAGGACUCACUAGGGGAUCCGUUGCUUAGCAAUUUACAGAGAAAGGGAGGCAGAACUCAUCCACUACUUUGUGUCGUUGAUUAGUGUUUCUGCACAAUUAAAUAGUUCUUGACGAUCAUAAUCUGUUUUGUCAUCAACAGGUGAUGCAUAGCCUAGUAAAUCCACCUCUUAUAAGUUGAUUGUCGAGUCAUCAAGUAAGCAACAUGGGAAAUGACCACUAUUGGGCUCAUGUGUGGGGGAAUUAAUUAGCGGUGGGGUUUACUGUAUCAAAGAUUUAAAAAGAAAAAAAUAGUUUUAUUUUCAUCAGUAUACUUAAAUGGUAGCUUUAUGUAGAGAAGGAUCUCUUGUGGGGAGCAAUAUGUAUUGGGCUUAUGCUCGUUUAAGGCAUAUAGCUGUCAGAUUUCUUCCUGUCCUUAAAUUGAGCAAUAGCAGAUAGCGUUUGUGGAGGAUUUAAACUCUUCCCCUGUUUGGUGCAUUUGGAAAAUGGGAGUAGAGAGUGUGGAGAGCAGUAAGCAAUUUUUGGUUUUGGAUGGUCUACCUUGUAUUGACACACUUCAGCUAGCAGAAAGAUCUUAAAAAACUCACCUGCAUUUCUUAAUUUCCAGUUGAGAGAAAUCAUUUCUCUAUCAAGCAAGAGGGUUAGAACAAAAUCUCAGGAAAACAUAGUUUGGUUUUAAGUUUUGGUUGUUUUAUAGCUCUUUGUCAGUCUACACAUUUUUUAGAUGGGCACGGUUUUGACAGUGGACAUGUUUGGUAGUUCUAUUUUGUCCUUCGUGUAGCUCAACUGUUCUUUUCUUCUUGAUACUGAGUAUUAGUAAAAUCUUAUCUUAUCAAAAAAUAAUUUUUCUUUUGUCGCUUUUCAAUGGAGUUUCUGUUUAUCUCUAUAGGAUCCCUACAAAAUCACAUUGGUAUAUUGUGUUGUAUAGAGACCCCCACAUGAUGGCGACUUUGAGUUUGCUCCAAUGAUUCAUGGAAUAGCAUCCUUUUUGGUUUAUAGAUUUAGUGGCUAGGCAUUUUUAGCUGGGUAAUGUGUUGAGUGCAUCUACAUAGAUACUUGAGAGGGCCUCCAAUUUUAUAGUCUUUUCAUUAACAUGUCUAUUUAUUACUAGGCAACCAUUUAAGAUGGUAACUUAAAGAAAUUUCCUAAAACGUACCUUUAUGGUAACCUAAUUUUAUUUUCCUUCUCUAUGUGCAUUGUUUCAAGUAGUUUAUGGUGGCAAGCAUGGGUACCUACUUUGAUAAUCCAACUACUUUGUCAAAAACCUGAACCAGUUUAUACAAAUACCUAAAUUACAACAAUGGAUUUAAAUAAAAAAGAAGGUUUUUAGGAAAAUAGUUUUAUCUGGACCCACAAUAUAGAGUAGAGUGCAUGGCUUCCAUUGUAUCUGUUAGAAUAUGUAAAUAGUAGAACCCUAAUCCAAUGUGUAUUAGGAGUAGGAUAGGUUAU